AGCGAUGUAAAUCCAGUGUCAAUUUUUUAAUUUACGAAAUUUUCUCCCUUUCUGUAAACAGAAUAGGAUAUGAUAUACAUACGUUAAUAAAUACACCAAAAACAAAAAUUUACUUAAACAUCGUUGAAUAAACCUAUAUUUAACGAUAAUAGACUAAGUCUGACGUCACACGGGCUGUGACGUCUCGAAACCUUUCCAAACAAAUAAAUAUUACACUUAAAAUUGAGCUAUGAAUUAAGAGUAGUUGUGCCUUUAUUACGAGAGAGUUUAUCGAUAUUUCUACGGUCCCUAGAGAAGUUUUUCAUCAGCAUCAGAACAGCUUUUAAAUAUGUGCUCAAGCACUGGCGAUUUUUUUUGGAAUAAUAAUAAAGUCAUUAAAAAAGGUGAAAAAGCGCUGGAGUCCAAAUCACAUGGAAAGAACUCCAUUUCUUGCAGAUUUAGAUGAUCAUGCCAGUAUGAAAGAAAAAUAUUGAGAUAAGCUUAUAUAUUGAUAAGAUAAGAUGAUAAGAUGAUAAGGUAUUGAGAUAAGUAGGUCAAUACCUAACCUUUGUGUGUAAAUUAAAGAAAAUAAUCCUCAAUGGGAGGUAUGUCCUUCAACACAUCUGGAAUUUAUUCCCAUACCUCUCAUGAUGACUUCUUAAGGAGGUACCUAAAGGACAGGGUUAAGAUUUACAACAUGCUUCUCGCUCUGUAACUACCAGAGCAUUUUACAGAAAUGAGCCAGGCUUAUCAGAAUUACAUCUUUGGCUUCCAUCGAAUCUGCAAAAUGAUACAUUAAGAUGUCUUUCAGUUAGUUGUCUGGUUUCAUGUUGGUGAGUUAUGUAGUUUUUAUCUUUAAGUUUAUACUAGAAUACACAACUGGAGUAUUUUGGUAUCAUACAAGAGUGAGUUUUUAGGGAUUCAAGAGCAUUAUUGUAGAGUCCCCCCAGGUCACUAUACCAUAGCAUAUCAGAGAUUCCACAAAUGAUUGGUACAACAUUAUUAAAGUUUUUUAUCCAAUAUAUUUCUAAUAAGGAAAAAUUUAUGAAUUAAGCUUUUGAGUUUAGAUGUUAAGUUUUGAAUGUGUGGUGUUCAUUUUAAUUUUUUGUUUAUUAUUAUACCUAGAUGUUUAGUGUUUUCUACUUCUUUUAUAAUAAAGUUUUGUUGUUCAUCAAUAA
Anthonomus grandis grandis is the source of this 1157-nucleotide long non-coding RNA. RefSeq lists it as uncharacterized. The transcript is spliced from 4 exons. Lineage: Eukaryota; Metazoa; Arthropoda; Insecta; Coleoptera; Curculionidae. The record is from RefSeq and is a predicted model, not a curated record.